GAUGAACGCUGGCGGCGUGCUUAACACAUGCAAGUCGAACGGAAAGGCCCAAGCUUGCUUGGGUACUCGAGUGGCGAACGGGUGAGUAACACGUGGGUGAUCUGCCCUGCACUUCGGGAUAAGCCUGGGAAACUGGGUCUAAUACCGGAUAGGACCACAUUUUGGAUGGUGUGGUGGAAAGUUUUUCGGUGUGGGAUGAGCUCGCGGCCUAUCAGCUUGUUGGUGGGGUAAUGGCCUACCAAGGCGUCGACGGGUAGCCGGCCUGAGAGGGUGUACGGCCACAUUGGGACUGAGAUACGGCCCAGACUCCUACGGGAGGCAGCAGUGGGGAAUAUUGCACAAUGGGCGCAAGCCUGAUGCGGCGACGCCGCGUGGGGGAUGACGGCCUUCGGGUUGUAAACUCCUUUCGCUAGGGACGAAGCGCAAGUGACGGUACCUGGAGAAGAAGCACCGGCUAACUACGUG
RNAcentral lists this ribosomal RNA (465 nucleotides) under uncultured bacterium. RNAcentral describes it as "partial 16S ribosomal RNA". It matches the Rfam family "Bacterial small subunit ribosomal RNA", at positions 28 to 507 of the family's 1533-position model. The record is from RNAcentral.